GUGCUGGAAGGAGGCUGCAGUGCCUCCACGCGAUGGAUGCGGUCCACCCGACAGCUCAUGUGGCUCACUGUGCGAGGCCAGCAGGAAGAAAGGUGGGCACGGGAUUAUCAUGAGCUCUAGAUAUGCAGCUAAAAGAGUCUGAAAACCAGGAGUCCAAACCCUUGUCUGUGGAAGGCCCACCUUGUUACCCAGCUCCCGAGCAAAGAAAAAGAAGAAUCAAGUCUUCAGUCAGCACACACACUCCAGUCAGUCAGCUCCGCAAUAAAAGCUACCUUUUCCAUGCACCUCCA
Centrocercus urophasianus (Greater sage-grouse) is the source of this 290-nucleotide long non-coding RNA. RefSeq lists it as uncharacterized. The transcript has 2 exons. The record is from RefSeq and is a predicted model, not a curated record. NCBI's taxonomy places the organism in Eukaryota, Metazoa, Chordata, Aves, Galliformes, Phasianidae.